This is a long non-coding RNA of Rhododendron vialii, 1819 nucleotides long. RefSeq lists it as uncharacterized. The transcript has 4 exons. NCBI's taxonomy places the organism in Eukaryota, Viridiplantae, Streptophyta, Magnoliopsida, Ericales, Ericaceae. The record is from RefSeq and is a predicted model, not a curated record.
CUUCCGCAAAACUCCUGGGACAACAACAGCAACGGCCAACAACCGGACCUCCUCGCCACCGCCCCCCAACUCACCCCCGACGACGCCCACUCCCUCCUCUCCUCCUUCACCCACGACCAGCUCCUCUCCAUCGUCCAAUCUACCGCCCUCUGCUACCCCGGCGUCCUCUCCGCCUUCCGCACGAACGGGCAUCCGAGACCAAAUCGCGUAUCUCCUCUGCUCUCUCUCUCUCUCUCUCUCUCUCUCUCUCUGUUUUUGCUUUGUUAGACUCAUUCGAGAUUCUGUUCUCUUCUCAUUCUCUUCAGAUCGAAUCGAAGAACUCAACGAUGUUCAGAUUGAAUCGAAGAAUUCAACGACCUGUGUCUCGACUCGAGAUUCUGAUGAUUGUUGAUUUUACCGAUUUCUCUUCCAUUCAACGAUGUUCGGCUUCCAAAUAAAUCAAUUUUUAGGGCUUAUUUCUUGACAAUGAUGAAGAAAGUGAAGAGAGCGAUUUCUACUAAUUUUGGUUCCAGCUUGCCGAUUUUGAAAUCUCACUUAAAGCUUGUGGUAAGUUUUCUUGUUAGAAACUGCACUUGAAGAAAUACAGAUAUUGGAUUCUUCUCUUCGACUAAGAAACUGAUGCUUUGGUGAGUUCUCAAAUAAACUUUGUGCAGCUUCCUCUUUUGAUUAUUAGGACAAAGAAACCCCAAACUUGAGAUAUUUCUUAAUUUCCUGUGAAACUUUGAUGGUCCUGAAUGUUUGGAUGCAUGAAUCAAUAGGUUACUUGACUUUACUAUAUAUUCUGCUGAUUGCGUGGUUAAUCCUGAUUACAUGAAUAACCAAAAGUUUUUAACUAUAAGAAAUGGAUUAGUGUAGCCUUUAUUUGAUGAGCAUAAAUUCUACUUCAAUCCAAUGCACACAAAGGCAAAUAAGAGGCCCCACAUGGAUGUAUGGUAAUUGGAACCCUGAUGGUGGCAUUUCACGUUUGGGUGUACCUCCUUUUGUCCAUGAAUGUGUAUCCGCACUUAUAUAUUUUCAAGUCUUUGGCUACAUUCUGUUUCGUGUGCCUCCUUUUGUCCAUGAAUAUCUGCUUUGGUUUCUAAUUGCUUUCUUUCCAUCUUUCUUUCUUCUUCUUCGUUUUGUCGCUCUCUCUUCGUGUUUAUGUUUAAGUUAAAGAUUGAUCUGUUUUUUUUCAUUAAGCACAAUUAUUUCCUCAAAUGGAAUCUCUAUAGAGGACAUUUCAUGCAGCUUAUGUUAUGUGUAGCUAAAUUUGAUGAAUGGGGUCAUUUAUCUGGAUAGUUGGCUUUUUGUUGUGUUGUAUUAGAUCGAGAAAGCAUUGAGAGGUGUGAAAGUUGAAGUUACACACUGUGGGAAUAUUCAUAGGAAAUACCGGAUAUCUGGGUUAACCUCACAAGCAACUUUCGAGCUAACUUAAGUUUCAAUGUUUAGUUGGUAUUUAAGAGUAAUGGUUACGGAAGUUUGAGGUUUUUUUUUUUGAACCGUGCAUUUGCUUUUUGGCCCACAGGAAAAUAUUUGAUGAUCUUUUGAGACAUUGAAUUAAGUUAUUUUGUUUAUUACUAGCAUUUGUAUUGCAGUAGAACUUGUUUUGGUGUAUUUUAUUGAAUAUCAUAAAAAUGGUGUUGCUGUAUAAGUUGGUUGCUAGCAUGCUAUAGACUACUUGAUAAAUGCCCUUUUUGCACAGAGUUCUUGGUAAAUGUAGUAUUGUGGCAUUCAUAUCCUGUCCGGUGUAAUAUAUUUUAGGUAUUUAUUUCGAUAUUGAGUUAUAAUUUUUUCAAACAGAGGUUGUAGUAUAACGGUUUAUGUUUUCUCCUUUUUCCCU